AGGUUGGCUCAGAAGCAGCCAUCCUUUAAAGAGUGCGUAACAGCUCACUAGUCGAGUGACCCUGCGCCGAAAAUGUACCGGGGCUAAGCCUGAUACCGAAACUGCGGAUUGUAGGAAACUAUAGUGGUAGGGGAGCGUUGUAUACGAGCAGAAGCCGUACCGUGAGGAGCGGUGGAUUGUAUAGAAGUGAGAAUGCCGGUGUGAGUAGCGAGAUGUAGGUGAGAAUCCUACACACCGAAAGCCCAAGGAUUCCAGGGGAAGGUUCGUCCGCCCUGGGUAAGUCGGGACCUAACGCGAGGCCGAAAGGCGUAGUGGAUGGAAAGCAGGCGAAAGAUUCCUGCACCCGUAUAUGGAGCGAAGGAGUGACGGAGACGGAUAGUGUGACCCUCUUAAUGGAUUGAGGGCGAAGCGAAGCGGCUGGUUACCAGGCAAAUCCGGUAACCAAAAGGCUAGAGCGUGACAGGUAAGCGAAAUCUUCGGAAAGUAGCGAAGCACAUGAUGACGGCUUCCAGGAAAAGCUUCUGGCAAUGCAUAUGCGGCCCGUACCAAAACCGACACAGGUGGGCAGGGAGAGAAUCCCGAGGUGAGCGAGAGAACUGUUGCCAAGGAACUCGGCAAAAUGACUCCGUAAGUUAGCGAGAAGGAGUGCUUAAGCAAUUAAGCCGCAGUGAAGAGGCCCAAGCGACUGUUUAACUAAAACACAGCUCUCUGCGAAGUCGCAAGACGAAGUAUAGGGGGUGACACCUGCCCGGUGCUGGAAGGUUAAGAGGAUCUGUUAAGAGCGAUCUGAAGCAGUGAUCCGAAGCCCCAGUGAACGGCGGCCGUAACUAUAACGGUCCUAAGGUAGCGAAAUUCCUUGUCAGGUAAGUUCUGACCCGCACGAAAGGUGUAACGAUUUGGGCGCUGUCUCGGCAGCAGACUCGGUGAAAUCUUAGUACCUGUGAAAAUGCAGGUUACCCGCAACUAGACGGAAAGACCCCAUGGAGCUUUACUGCAGCCUGAUAUUGAAUUCUGGUCAUACAUGUACAGGAUAGGUGGGAGACAAAGAGACGUGCACGCCAGUGUACGAGGAGUCGACGUUGGGAUACCACUCUUGUGUGACCGGGGUUCUAACCUGGUAUCGAGAACAGGUACGGGGAGAGUGUCAGGUGGGCAGUUUGACUGGGGCGGUCGCCUCCCAAAGAGUAACGGAGGCGCCCAAAGGUACGCUCAGAUUGGAUGGAAACCAAUCGUCGAGUGCAAUUGCAGAAGCGUGCUUGACUGUGAGACAGACAAGUCGAACAGGGACGAAAGUCGGGAAUAGUGAUCCGGCGGUGCCGAAUGGAAGGGCCGUCGCUCAACGGAUAAAAGCUACCCUGGGGAUAACAGGCUGAUCUCCCCCAAGAGUCCACAUCGACGGGGAGGUUUGGCACCUCGAUGUCGGCUCAUCGCAUCCUGGAGCUGAAGUCGGUUCCAAGGGUUGGGCUGUUCGCCCAUUAAAGCGGUACGCGAGCUGGGUUCAGAACGUCGUGAGACAGUUCGGUCCCUAUCUGUUGUGGGCGAAGGAGAUCUGCGGAGAGCUGUCCUCAGUACGAGAGGACCGGGAUGGACCUACCGCUGGUGCACCGGUUGUUCCGCCAGGGGCAUAGCCGGGUAGCUAAGUAGGGAAAGGAUAAGCGCUGAAAGCAUCUAAGCACGAAGCCUACUCCAAGAUGAGAUCUCCCAUUCGCAAGAAGUAAGACCCCUUAAAGACGAUAAGGUAGAUAGGCCAGGGAUGGAAGUGCAGUGAUGUACGGAGUUGACUGGUACUAAUCGGUCGAGGACUUAAUCAG
RNAcentral lists this ribosomal RNA (1811 nucleotides) under human gut metagenome. Its description in RNAcentral is "bacterial LSU rRNA". It matches the Rfam family "Bacterial large subunit ribosomal RNA", at positions 1098 to 2925 of the family's 2925-position model. The record is from RNAcentral.